GACGAACGCUGGCGGCGUGCUUAACACAUGCAAGUCGAACGAAGAGCGAUGGAAGCUUGCUUCUAUCAAUCUUAGUGGCGAACGGGUGAGUAACGCGUAAUCAACCUGCCCUUCAGAGGGGGACAACAGUUGGAAACGACUGCUAAUACCGCAUACGAUCUAAUCUCGGCAUCGAGGAUAGAUGAAAGGUGGCCUCUACAUGUAAGCCAUCACUGAAGGAGGGGAUUGCGUCUGAUUAGCUAGUUGGAGGGGUAACGGCUCACCAAGGCGAUGAUCAGUAGCCGGUCUGAGAGGAUGAACGGCCACAGUGGGACUGAGACACGGCCCAGACGCCUACGGGAGGCAGCAGUGGGGAAUCUUCCGCAAUGGACGAAAGUCUGACGGAGCAACGCCGCGUGAGCGAUGACGGCCUUCGGGUUGUAAAGCUCUGUUAAUCGGGACGAAAGGCCUUCUUGCGAAUAGUGAGAAGGAUUGACGGUACCGGAAUAGAAAGCCACGGCUAACUACGUG
This 510-nucleotide ribosomal RNA is filed under the name uncultured bacterium. RNAcentral describes it as "partial 16S ribosomal RNA". It matches the Rfam family "Bacterial small subunit ribosomal RNA", at positions 28 to 507 of the family's 1533-position model. The record is from RNAcentral.